UCGAACGCUGGCGGCGUGCUUAACACAUGCAAGUCGAACGGAAAGGCCCUUCGGGGUACUCGAGUGGCGAACGGGUGAGUAACACGUGGGUGAUCUGCCCUGCACUCUGGGAUAAGCCUGGGAAACUGGGUCUAAUACCGGAUAGGACCACACACUUCAUGGUGAGUGGUGCAAAGCUUUUGCGGUGUGGGAUGAGCCCGCGGCCUAUCAGCUUGUUGGUGGGGUAAUGGCCCACCAAGGCGACGACGGGUAGCCGGCCUGAGAGGGUGACCGGCCACACUGGGACUGAGAUACGGCCCAGACUCCUACGGGAGGCAGCAGUGGGGAAUAUUGCACAAUGGGCGCAAGCCUGAUGCAGCGACGCCGCGUGAGGGAUGACGGCCUUCGGGUUGUAAACCUCUUUCAGUAGGGACGAAGCGAAAGUGACGGUACCUACAGAAGAAGGACCGGCCAACUACGUGCCAGCAGCCGCGGUAAUACGUAGGGUCCGAGCGUUGUCCGGAAUUACUGGGCGUAAAGAGCUCGUAGGUGGUUUGUCGCGUUGUUCGUGAAAACUCACAGCUUAACUGUGGGCGUGCGGGCGAUACGGGCAGACUAGAGUACUGCAGGGGAGACUGGAAUUCCUGGUGUAGCGGUGGAAUGCGCAGAUAUCAGGAGGAACACCGGUGGCGAAGGCGGGUCUCUGGGCAGUAACUGACGCUGAGGAGCGAAAGCGUGGGUAGCGAACAGGAUUAGAUACCCUGGUAGUCCACGCCGUAAACGGUGGGUACUAGGUGUGGGUUUCCUUCCUUGGGAUCCGUGCCGUAGCUAACGCAUUAAGUACCCCGCCUGGGGAGUACGGUCGCAAGACUG
Molecule: ribosomal RNA, 852 nt
Filed under: Mycobacteroides chelonae
Lineage: Bacteria; Bacillati; Actinomycetota; Actinomycetes; Mycobacteriales; Mycobacteriaceae
Description: bacterial SSU rRNA
Rfam family: Bacterial small subunit ribosomal RNA
Source: RNAcentral